This 41-nucleotide non-coding RNA is filed under the name Trypanosoma brucei brucei. The record is from RNAcentral. Lineage: Eukaryota; Euglenozoa; Kinetoplastea; Trypanosomatida; Trypanosomatidae.
AACAUAUCUUAUAUCUGAAUCUAACUUGUAAUAUGUGAAUU